CUCAAGCAUACUAUUUUCUCUGGAUUUCUGAGGAGAGUCUUAUUCACUUACUCACGGCUCCAGAAAACGAGCAACUUACCUGUAAAAUAUAGGAAGCCAAUUCAAACACCACUUCACUGUCGACAUCGAUCAGCUCCUGAAAGGGAAUUCCAACAGGGAAGGAUAAGUUACUUCACCUUUCUGCGACUCAGUUUCCUCAGCUAUAAAAUGGCCAUAACGACUAUGUUUACAUCUCCCAGUGGCUGUG
Sciurus carolinensis (gray squirrel) is the source of this 247-nucleotide long non-coding RNA. RefSeq lists it as uncharacterized. The record is from RefSeq and is a predicted model, not a curated record. The transcript is spliced from 3 exons. NCBI's taxonomy places the organism in Eukaryota, Metazoa, Chordata, Mammalia, Rodentia, Sciuridae.